AAGCUAUGCGUCGAGCAUUUUCUCAGUAUCUCCUUGAACCACUCACAUGCUUUAUAUAAUGUUUCAUCUUCUAAUUGUCUAAACGAUGUAAUGUCAUUCCUCAACUU
Gossypium hirsutum (cotton) is the source of this 107-nucleotide non-coding RNA. Lineage: Eukaryota; Viridiplantae; Streptophyta; Magnoliopsida; Malvales; Malvaceae. The record is from Rfam.